RNAcentral lists this ribosomal RNA (301 nucleotides) under uncultured bacterium. Its description in RNAcentral is "partial 16S ribosomal RNA". It matches the Rfam family "Bacterial small subunit ribosomal RNA", at positions 509 to 807 of the family's 1533-position model. The record is from RNAcentral.
CAGCAGCCGCGGUAAUACGGAGGGGGCUAGCGUUGUUCGGAAUUACUGGGCGUAAAGCGCACGUAGGCGGCUUGGUAAGUUAGAGGUGAAAGCCCGGAGCUCAACUCCGGAAUUGCCUUUAAGACUGCCGAGCUAGCAGGUGAGAGAGGUAAGUGGAAUUCCGAGUGUAGAGGUGAAAUUCGUAGAUAUUCGGAAGAACACCAGUGGCGAAGGCGGCUUACUGGCUCAUACUGGGCGCUGAGGUGCGAAAGCGUGGGGAGCAAACAGGAUUAGAUACCCCCGUAGUCCCUGUCUCUUAUAC